Long non-coding RNA from Mesocricetus auratus (golden hamster), 731 nucleotides. RefSeq lists it as uncharacterized. Lineage: Eukaryota; Metazoa; Chordata; Mammalia; Rodentia; Cricetidae. The transcript is spliced from 3 exons. The record is from RefSeq and is a predicted model, not a curated record.
GACAGCGUGUAAUCAGGUGACCUGCAAUGCCUGUUUUGAACUGGGAAGGAUUUGACUUUGACUACACCCCCCCCCCCCCACCCGGUCCAGCCUAGAGUCCUGAGCAAAGCAGCACUCCCUCAUCAGGGAGAGGUGGCACAGCGGGGUCUAGAGCUCCAUAAGGCUGACUGCUUAGGGGCUGUGGGGGAAGGAAGUCUGCACUCUGUCCUGCUACAUAUGCCUCCCACCAUGCUGCCACCCCCUUCCCUCACAGCCCCUGUGGAAUUAGCAGCGGGAAGCCUGAAAAACAUCAGGAAGAGAAAUGCGGCUCACAGGUGACCAGCGACACCGGCAUGGUUUUGUGGUACCAGUGGGGGCCGUGUCAGUAUCACCCCUGGAGAAGAGCUAAGGGAAAGAAGUCCUCCCCCCUGGGGUGAACUGGGGACUGUGUUCGAUGUACACUUUGCCUCAAAGGAACACAUUGGCCAGCCCCUGGCACAUGAUCAUCUGAUCCAAAUAGGAGCUAUACUGGGGAAGUAAGCACUAUGACAAAUGUUGUCCAGAAGGGGGAUAACCGAGGCAUCAGAAUUCUGAGACCAGCAGCCACAGAAGAAUGAGCUCAUGGCGUCAGUGGUAGAAAUUGAAAGAACAUAUCUCAGGAUUCAACCCAGAAACACAAGAAAUUGAACCAGCUUGUGCUUGAAGGAAACAAAUAACCUCCUGUUGGUCCGAGAAGGGUGGAAAUGACUUAG